This 405-nucleotide ribosomal RNA is filed under the name uncultured bacterium. Its description in RNAcentral is "partial 16S ribosomal RNA". It matches the Rfam family "Bacterial small subunit ribosomal RNA", at positions 28 to 526 of the family's 1533-position model. The record is from RNAcentral.
GAUGACCGCUGGCUGCGUGCCUAAUACAUGCAAGUCGAGCGAAGCGGGGACGGGUGAGUAACACGUGGAUAACCUCCUAUAAGACUGGGCUAACUUCGGGAAACCGGAGCUAAACCGGUUACUUAUAGAUGGAUCCGCGCUGCAUUAGCUAGUUGGUAAGGUAACGGCUUACCAAGGCAACGAUGCAUCGCCGACCUGAGAGGUGGACCGGCCACACGUGAACUGACACACUGUCCAGCCUCCGACGGGAGUGAGCAGUUGGGAAUCUUGCGCAAGGGGCGAAAGGCGGAGGUCGCAACGCCGCGUGAGUGAUGAAUGUCGUCGGAGCGUAAAACGCGGUUAUCAGGGAUGCGGUACCUAACCAGGAAGCGACGUCUAACUAAGGGCCAGCAGCCGCGGUAAUAC